RNAcentral lists this ribosomal RNA (464 nucleotides) under uncultured bacterium. RNAcentral's name for it is "partial 16S ribosomal RNA". It matches the Rfam family "Bacterial small subunit ribosomal RNA", at positions 28 to 506 of the family's 1533-position model. The record is from RNAcentral.
GACGAACGCUGGCGGCGUGCUUAACACAUGCAAGUCGAACGGAAAGGCCCUGCUUGCAGGGUACUCGAGUGGCGAACGGGUGAGUAACACGUGGGUGAUCUGCCCUGCACUUCGGGAUAAGCCUGGGAAACUGGGUCUAAUACCGGAUAGGAGCCAUUUUUAGUGUGAUGGUUGGAAAGUUUUUUCGGUGUAGGAUGAGCUCGCGGCCUAUCAGCUUGUUGGUGGGGUAAUGGCCUUCCAAGGCGGCGACGGGUAGCCGGCCUGAGAGGGUGGACGGCCACAUUGGGACUGAGAUACGGCCCAGACUCCUACGGGAGGCAGCAGUGGGGAAUAUUGCACAAUGGGCGCAAGCCUGAUGCAGCGACGCCGCGUGGGGGAUGACGGCCUUCGGGUUGUAAACUCCUUUCGCUAGGGACGAAGCUUUUUGUGACGGUACCUAGAUAAGAAGCACCGGCUAACUACGU